RNAcentral lists this ribosomal RNA (482 nucleotides) under uncultured bacterium. RNAcentral's name for it is "partial 16S ribosomal RNA". It matches the Rfam family "Bacterial small subunit ribosomal RNA", at positions 29 to 507 of the family's 1533-position model. The record is from RNAcentral.
AUUGAACGCUGGCGGCAUGCUUUACACAUGCAAGUCGAACGGUAACAGGCCGCUAGGUGCUGCCGAGUGGCGAACGGGUGAGUAAUGCAUCGGAACGUGCCCAGUCGUGGGGGAUAACUACUCGAAAGAGUAGCUAAUACCGCAUACGAUCUAUGGAUGAAAGCGGGGGACCGUAAGGCCUCGCGCGAUUGGAGCGGCCGAUGUCAGAUUAGGUAGUUGGUGGGGUAAAGGGGCACCAAGGCAACGAUCUGUAGCUGGUCUGAGAGGACGACCAGCUACACUGGGAGUGAGAAAGAGCAGAGACUCCGACGGUGGGACGCAGUGGGGAAUCUUAGACAAUGGGGGAGAGCCUGAUCCAACAAUGCCGCGGGAAGGAAGAAGGCGUCAGGGUUGUAAAGUGCUGUUGUACGGAGGGAAACGGCGCUGGUUAAUACCCGGAGAUAAUGACGGUACCGUAAGAAUAAGCACCGGCUAACUACGUG